ACGUAUCUCCGACGGGGUGCGGCGAGCCCUGCUCCGGCCAAACGGCUGUGCAGCGGGUUCCCCGUUCCCCGUCCGCACCUUACAAACCCACUGUGAACCUUCACGGCGGACGGGAGGCGACUCCCCGAGGCCGCAUACCCAAACUCCAGUCGCAAAGAAUGUCGUGCGGACUUUGGGCCGCCUAAAACACGAAA
Molecule: unclassified non-coding RNA, 194 nt
Filed under: uncultured fungus
Lineage: Eukaryota; Fungi
Description: sequence contains ITS1, 5.8S rRNA gene
Source: RNAcentral